RNAcentral lists this long non-coding RNA (614 nucleotides) under Pan troglodytes (chimpanzee). RNAcentral's name for it is "long non-coding RNA NONPTRT003985". The record is from RNAcentral. Lineage: Eukaryota; Metazoa; Chordata; Mammalia; Primates; Hominidae.
AAUAGUUUUGUAGGAAAUUAAUUUUAUUUUAUUUUCAACUUGUGCAUAGUACUGACAGAGUACCAUACGUCAUUACUCUGUUUAUGUAAUGUAAGUAUUUAGAGUGCCACAAAAUAUCAUUUUCUAAAACUGCCAUUGACCUAGCUUGCCUACUAAUUUAGUUCUUUUUUUUUUUUUUUUUUUUUUUUUUUGAGACGGAGUCUCGCUCUGUCACCCAGGCUGGAGUGCAGUGGCGCGAUCUCGGCUCACUGCAAGCUCCGCCUCCCGGGUUCACGCCAUUCUCCUGCCUCAGCCUCCCGAGUAGCUGGGACUACAGGCGCCCGCUACCACGCCCGGCUAAUUUUUUGUAUUUUUAGUAGAGACGGGGUUUCACCGUGUUAGCCAGGAUGGUCUCGAUCUCCUGACCUCGUGAUCCGCCCGCCUCGGCCUCCCAAAGUGCUGGGAUUACAGGCGUGAGCCACCGCGCCCGGCCACUAAUUUAGUUCUUUUAAUAUGGAGUCUUCUUUGCCAAGAUGGUUUACAGUCUUUUUUAAGUUGCAAAAGUAAUAUAUGAAGGCAUACUUGGAAAGUUUUUAAAAUGAUACCAGAUUCAUGUGUUUCUUGGUAGUAUUAUU